RNAcentral lists this ribosomal RNA (471 nucleotides) under uncultured bacterium. RNAcentral's name for it is "bacterial SSU rRNA". It matches the Rfam family "Bacterial small subunit ribosomal RNA", at positions 28 to 526 of the family's 1533-position model. The record is from RNAcentral.
GAUCAACGCUGGCGGCGUGCCUAAUGCAUGCAAGUUGAACGGUGCCUUCGGGCACAGUGGCGAACGGGUGAGGAACACGUGGACGACCGACCCUGGAGUGGGGAAUAACUGCCGGAAACGGUGGCUAAUACCGCAUACGGUUGCUGAGGUAUCGGCCUUGGUAACGAAAGCCUUCGGGCGCUGCAGGACGGGUCUGCGGCCGAUUAGCUAGUUGGUGGGGUCACGGCCUACCAAGGCGACGAUCGGUAGCCGGUCUGAGAGGACGGCCGGCCACACGGGGACUGGGACACGGCCCCGACUCCUACGGGAGGCAGCAGCAAGGAAUAUUGGGCAAUGGCCGAAAGGCUGACCCAGCGACGCCGCGUGGGGGAUGAAGGCCCUCGGGUCGUAAACCCCUUUUCUCAGGGACGAAGAUGACGGUACCUGAGGAAGAAGCCCCGGCUAACUACGUGCCAGCCGCCGCCGUAAAAC